GGGAUGACUGUUGUAUUUUUGUUCUCCCAGAUCACUCUUCUAAUGUGACUGAUCUUGCAGAAUACAUUGCCACUGCGGCUUAGAAAAAUCCCCCAAAACCAGAGUGGAUGCUUGCAACUUGGUUGGAAUCCCUGUUUGGAAGUUGGGUUGCAGCGGUGGCUGGGCUGCAGCGUGUGUUUUAUGCUUGGCUCUCCAGAGGGUGGUGAAGUCUGCACAACGCAUCACCAGGGGCAAACUACCUGUCCUCCAGGACACCUACACCACUCCAGGACACCUACACCACCUCCAGGACACCUACACCACAGGAAGGCCAUAAAGAUCAUCAAGGACAACAACGACCCGAGCCACUGCCUGUUCACCCCGCUAUCAUCCAGAAGGCGAGGUCAGUACAGGUACAUCAAAGCAGGGACCGAGAGACUGAAAAACAGCUUCUAUCUCAAGGCCAUCAGACUGUUAAACAGCCACCACUAACAUUGAGUGGCUGCUGCCAACACACUGACUCAACUACAGCCACUUUAAUAAUGGGAAUUGAUGGGAAUUGAUGUAAAAUAUAUCACUAGCCACUUUAAACAAUGCACUUUAAUAUAAUGUUUACAUACCCUUCAUUACUCAUCUCAUAUGUAUACGUAUAUACUGUACUCUAUAUCAUCUACUGCAUCUUUAUGUAAACAUGUAUCACUAGCCACUUUAACUAUGCCACUUUGUUUAUAUACUCAUCUCAUAUGUAUAUACUGUGCUCGAUACCAUCUACUGCAUCUUGCCUAUGCCGCUCUGUACCAUCACUCAUUCAUAUAUCUUUAUGUACAUAUUCUUUAUCCCUUUACACUUGUGUGUAUAAGGUAGUAGUUUUGGAAUUGUUAGUUAGAUUACUCGUUGGUUAUUACUGCAUUGUCGGAACUAGAAGCACAAGCAUUUUGCUCCACUCACAUUAAUAUCUGCUAACCAUGUGUAUGUGACAAAUAAAUUUGAUUUGAUUUGA
Molecule: long non-coding RNA, 979 nt
Organism: Oncorhynchus masou masou (cherry salmon)
Lineage: Eukaryota; Metazoa; Chordata; Actinopteri; Salmoniformes; Salmonidae
Exons: 2
Source: RefSeq, a predicted model, not a curated record